GUGGGAGGAUCCUAUGAGCCCAGGAGUUUGAUGCUGCAGUUAACUAUGAUCAUGCCACUGCACUCCAGCCUGAGUGACAGAGCAAGA
This 87-nucleotide microRNA precursor is filed under the name Microcebus murinus (gray mouse lemur). Its description in RNAcentral is "miRNA (ENSMICG00000042399.1)". Lineage: Eukaryota; Metazoa; Chordata; Mammalia; Primates; Cheirogaleidae. The record is from RNAcentral.